AUCAACUUUGAUCGGCAAAGGCUGUACUCUUUCUCUAAUGAAGGUGAAUGCCAAGGGAAGUCAGAGAAAUGAGUGAGAGGUAUACGUGGGGUAUUUGGUCUACACUAUCUUUAGAAUGGUUCACAACCUUUGAAAGGCAGUUUGCCAAGGUCCUGAAAAUCACCAUCUGGAGGUUGAUGGCAAAAUGCUGACUCCUGUCAUGAAGUAGCAAGAUGGAAGAGCACUGACCUUGGAUAAUUCCCAAAGGAAAUUGCUGAUGAAGGGUAGAAGACAGAAGGGCAAGAAAACGCAAGAGCAAGAGAGCAAGUGGUGGCUGAAGAACUCACUUUCAUAACAAGAACCUCUGACAGUAACUAAUGCACUCUGGUGGUAAGGACAUUAAUCCAUGUAUGAUAGCAGAACCCUCAUGACUUAAUCACUUCUUUUUAGGCCCCACCUCCCAACACUGUUGUAUUGGAUAGUAAGUUUCCAGCAUAUGAACUUUGGAGAACACGUUCAAACCAUAGCAUUGAUCAAACAAUACAAUUUAUGGUUUGGGUUUAGUUCACACAGUUUUGUAACAUGGCCAAAUUUAGUAUGGCAGUACAACCUAAGAAGUCACAGAAUACUUCCAUCAAAAGAAUACAUGCUGGGUAGGAUCUUUGAAGGACACUCCUAAUUGGCCAUGGGAAUGACUAAAGUAAUCUUGGCCCUGGCAGUCUUAGCAAAAUGCUCAUUUAGCCUUCAGAUCAGACUGUAUUUUUCUCUUGAGGAAAAAAUGUAUUUUAAUACAGUGAAAUGAUUUCCUUUUACCUAUUCAUUACCGACCAAGUAUGUUUGUCUGCAAUCUUUAUGGAAAAUAAUAUAAUAUUGGGUUGUCCAAGAAAAGUAAAACCAGCUUUUUCUGAAAAUAAAUUGUAGUUUGAGUUAAGUAGCUUUAUGCAAUAGAAAUGUUGCUUGGGAUAAUGACGUUUCUGGCUGGCUGCCUUGUUUGAUGUUCC
This 980-nucleotide long non-coding RNA is filed under the name Homo sapiens (human). RNAcentral's name for it is "HSALNT0128117". Lineage: Eukaryota; Metazoa; Chordata; Mammalia; Primates; Hominidae. The record is from RNAcentral.